AGAGUUUGAUCCUGGCUCAGGACGAACGCUGGCGGCGUGCCUAGUACAUGCAAGUCGAACGAACUCUGGUAUUGAUUGGUGCUUGCAUCAUGAUUUACAUUUGAGUGAGUGGCGAACUGGUGAGUAACACGUGGGAAACCUGCCCAGAAGCGGGGGAUAACACCUGGAAACAGAUGCUAAUACCGCAUAGAUCCAAGAACCGCAUGGUUCUUGGCUGAAAGAUGGCUUCGGCUAUCACUUUUGGAUGGUCCCGCGGCGUAUUAGCUAGAUGGUGGGGUAACGGCUCACCAUGGCAAUGAUACGUAGCCGACCUGAGAGGGUAAUCGGCCACAUUGGGACUGAGACACGGCCCAAACUCCUACGGGAGGCAGCAGUAGGGAAUCUUCCACAAUGGACGAAAGUCUGAUGGAGCAACGCCGCGUGAGUGAAGAAGGGUUUCGGCUCGUAAAACUCUGUUGUUAAAGAAGAACAUAUCUGAGAGUAACUGUUCAGGUAUUGACGGUAUUUAACCAGAAAGCCACGGCUAACUACGUGCCAGCAGCCGCGGUAAUACGUAGGUGGCAAGCGUUGUCCGGAUUUAUUGGGCGUAAAGCGAGCGCAGGCGGUUUUUUAAGUCUGAUGUGAAAGCCUUCGGCUCAACCGAAGAAGUGCAUCGGAAACUGGGAAACUUGAGUGCAGAAGAGGACAGUGGAACUCCAUGUGUAGCGGUGAAAUGCGUAGAUAUAUGGAAGAACACCAGUGGCGAAAGCGGCUGUCUGGUCUGUAACUGACGCUGAGGCUCGAAAGUAUGGGUAGCAAACAGGAUUAGAUACCCUGGUAGUCCAUACCGUAAACGAUGAAUGCUAAGUGUUGGAGGGUUUCCGCCCUUCAGUGCUGCAGCUAACGCAUUAAGCAUUCCGCCUGGGGAGUACGGCCGCAAGGCUGAAACCCAAAGGAAUUGACGGGGGCCCGCACAAGCGGUGGAGCAUGUGGUUUAAUUCGAAGCUACGCGAAGAACCUUACCAGGUCUUGACAUACUAUGCAAAUCUAAGAGAUUAGACGUUCCCUUCGGGGACAUGGAUACAGGUGGUGCAUGGUUGUCGUCAGCUCGUGUCGUGAGAUGUUGGGUUAAGUCCCGCAACGAGCGCAACCCUUAUUAUCAGUUGCCAGCAUUAAGUUGGGCACUCUGGUGAGACUGCCGGUGACAAACCGGAGGAAGGUGGGGAUGACGUCAAACCAUCAUGCCCCUUAUGACCUGGGCUACACACGUGCUACAAUGGAUGGUACAACGAGUUGCGAACUCGCGAGAGUAAGCUAAUCUCUUAAAGCCAUUCUCAGUUCGGAUUGUAGGCUGCAACUCGCCUACAUGAAGUCGGAAUCGCUAGUAAUCGCGGAUCAGCAUGCCGCGGUGAAUACGUUCCCGGGCCUUGUACACACCGCCCGUCACACCAUGAGAGUUUGUAACACCCAAAGUCGGUGGGGUAACCUUUUAGGAACCAGCCGCCUAAGGUGGGACAGAUGAUUAGGGUGAAGUCGUAACAAGGUAACC
RNAcentral lists this ribosomal RNA (1528 nucleotides) under uncultured Lactobacillus sp. RNAcentral describes it as "bacterial SSU rRNA". It matches the Rfam family "Bacterial small subunit ribosomal RNA". The record is from RNAcentral. Lineage: Bacteria; Bacillati; Bacillota; Bacilli; Lactobacillales; Lactobacillaceae.